This 433-nucleotide ribosomal RNA is filed under the name uncultured bacterium. Its description in RNAcentral is "partial 16S ribosomal RNA". It matches the Rfam family "Bacterial small subunit ribosomal RNA", at positions 29 to 507 of the family's 1533-position model. The record is from RNAcentral.
AACGAACGCUGGCGGCAUGCCUAACACAUGCAAGUCGAACGAGACCUUUGGGUCUAGUGGCGCACGGGUGCGUAACGCGUGGGAAUCUGCCCUUGGGUUCGGAAUAACAGUGAGAAAUUGCUGCUAAUACCGGAUGAUGUCUUCGGACCAAAGAUUUAUCGCCCAGGGAUGAGCCCGCGUAGGAUUAGCUAGUUGGUGGGGUAAUGGCCUACCAAGGCGACGAUCCUUAGCUGGUCUGAGAGGAUGAUCAGCCACACUGGGACUGAGACACGGCCCAGACUCCUACGGGAAGCAGCAGUGGGGAAUAUUGGACAAUGGGCGCAAGCCUGAUCCAGCAAUGCCGCGUGAGUGAUGAAGGCCUUAGGGUUGUAAAGCUCUUUUACCAGGGAUGAUAAUGACAGUACCUGGAGAAUAAGCUCCGGCUAACUCCGUG